GGGGAAUUUUCCGCAAUGGGCGCAAGCCUGACGGAGCAACGCCGCGUGAGGGAGGAAUGUCUGUGGAUUGUAAACCUCUUUUCUCUGUGAAGAAGAUCUGACGGUAGCAGAGGAAUCAGCAUCGGCUAACUCCGUGCCAGCAGCCGCGGUAAGACGGAGGAUGCAAGCGUUAUCCGGAAUUAUUGGGCGUAAAGCGUCCGUAGGCGGUUAAUUAAGUCAGUUGUUAAAGACUGCAGCUCAACUGUGGGAGAGCAACUGAAACUGGUUGACUAGAGUAUGGUAGGGGUAGAGGGAAUUCCUAGUGUAGCGGUGAAAUGCGUAGAUAUUAGGAAGAACACCAGUGGCGAAGGCGCUCUACUGGGCCAAGACUGACGCUGAUGGACGAAAGCUAGGGGAGCGAAAGGGAUUAGAUACCCCAGUAGUC
This 424-nucleotide ribosomal RNA is filed under the name Leptolyngbya sp. red1. Its description in RNAcentral is "bacterial SSU rRNA". It matches the Rfam family "Bacterial small subunit ribosomal RNA", at positions 356 to 795 of the family's 1533-position model. RNAcentral also lists the same sequence under 2 other names. The record is from RNAcentral. Lineage: Bacteria; Bacillati; Cyanobacteriota; Cyanophyceae; Leptolyngbyales; Leptolyngbyaceae.